Long non-coding RNA from Eucalyptus grandis, 8034 nucleotides. RefSeq lists it as uncharacterized. The record is from RefSeq and is a predicted model, not a curated record. Lineage: Eukaryota; Viridiplantae; Streptophyta; Magnoliopsida; Myrtales; Myrtaceae. The transcript is spliced from 5 exons.
ACGGAACGGCUUCUCUCUCCCCCACUCCUCCCCCACGUAUCUAGUUGGGCCGACGAGGAAGAAGACGGUCAAGCCUUGUGAUCGCCUUAUUCGGUCGCUCUCUAGAGUCGCGAGCGUUUUUACAGCUCCCGGCUCUGACGAGCGAUGGCAGAUUCCGGUAAACGGGAGGGGAGCUCACCGAUCGGGAGCAAUGCCGCAUCUCAGGGGACGACGCCGUCGACGGCGACGGCGACGAAACCGCGGAGCCGUACUCGUCGAGCCGGAGCGAGGCGGCGGGAGGGGAGUCCUCCGGCGAAUCGCGCGCGUCUUCCGGCGUGAGUGAGAGAGUCUCACAUACGAUGAUGGAAUAGCGCUUCUAUGUCCGUCCGCCUCUCGUGAAUUCGGCAAUUUCCAUUAGUUAUCUGCAGUGUUAAUACUCAUGUUUCUAUGAGCCCUGGUGUUACUCCCGGCGCGCGAUUUCCUUGUUACGGUUAGCCGGAUUUCGAUGUCCUGAUCAUUCACCGUGUCAUUGAGUCUUCUACUCGGUGCGGUAUCAGCUCGAUCCAGAGAGAAGUAGCUGGAAGGAUCUUGAGUGUAGCCUUGCCCCAUCCUCUUCUACCUUGUCUUUGUUGUGCUGGUAAGCUUGAUUUGAUGUGCUGAAUUAGAAAGUAGAUUGUUCACCGUGCCUUUGAUCCUUCUACUCAGUGUGGUAAUGACUCGAUCAAGAGAAAGAUGGUCAGGAGGCACUCGCUAAUGCAGUCGUGCCUCGUUCUGUUCCCCCUGUUUGCAUCUCAAUCUUAAAGAACUUUCUCCCUGACUACAAGGACCGGCACAAGAAAAGGAGGGAUUUCAGUGUUUCCAUGGCCUUGUUUCAUACUCUUUCACUUUGCCUUGGCAGUAUCUUUAAAUUCGUCUAUUAUAUUCUCCUGUUCUAUUUAUUCAGCGCCAAGAAGAUACCACCAGGUUAAAACUAUGGACUCAGAGGGCCUUUCUUCAGGUGGGGAAUUGCGCAAGACGGGUCUAAUCUGCCUUCUCCAGAUGCCACAUUAUCCCCUGAUGUUGCUCCAAAUGGGUUAGCUCGUCAUUCGUGUUAGGGAACACAUGGCAUGGGUGAUAAAAUUGGUCAGGCGUCACACUUCUCGGAAACAUCUUAUGGUUGUGGCUUCCAAAUUGUCUGGGAUAAUUUGAUGUUGAACAGCUGAUAGCAUAGUAAUUCUGUUGUCAGAGCAGAGGUCGGGGUUCAUUAGUGUUCAACUGUCUACAAUAUAUUGUUCUCAACGUAGCGCAUAGGUAUUGAAGGUUUGACUUCAAGCCAUGAUUGUUGAUAUUUAUGUCGUAAGGAAAACAAAGGAUUUGAUUGUCCAGUGUAGUUUUCUAUUCAGAGGCAGCGAUAAUCCAUUAUCUAACAGCCAUUUUUGUGCUAAUGAAGAUUACUAUAUUUGAAGGAUGCUGAUCUUGCAUUGUUGAAGAAAGUGACCUCUGAGAAUCUGGCAGCACUAGUAGAUUCACCCUGGAGCCGAGAACAAACUUAAUCAACAGAGUAAAAUGCUAAAUGCUAUGUCAGCCAUUUAUGUAAGACGGAUAAAAUAGAGUCUAAUAUGGUUACUCUUCUUCUUUAAUAGUCUUAUGGCGUCAAUAGAGGUGCUUUUCUUUUGGGAACAUGCAUAACAGAUUCAUUUGGUUUAAUGGACUGCAUAUUGAUUACAUUAUGUGAGGUAUGCUUGUUGAAAGAAGAAAGUAACUGAUAGUGUUUCCAGCGCUGCUGUGGCUCCUAAAAGCAUAUAAUCUUUGAUCUGUAGACUUUCUUCAAUUAUCUUAUAGAGGCCUAAAGCAGUGUUUUGAUAUGUGGGACACAGGGGAUGUGCCGGAAAGACUGAAUUUGAUGGCCCUUAGUUGCUCAAUAUGCUGAAGGUGUUGACAAAAUUUACAGCGGUUGCUGGAGAAUUAAUCUCACUUGGCUCAAUAGACUAUGAGACUCAAAAUAUAGUUAGGUUACAAAAGUUCUGCAGUUUUCCUUGCAGUAUUUAAAUAUUUUUCUGGAGGUCAUCCAUAAUUUUUCAUUUUUUUUUUUUCACAUCAGCUCCAAUAUGUUUUAUGUCUUGAUUAAUGCUUAAGCUUAUAAAUUCCAGCCGGCACCCGAAUCUUGUUUUCAAUACAUUCAGUAUUACCUACUCAUGGAAUCGAUCUAUCUUUUCUUUUGCAUAUCCGUUGAUGAUUUUGUCCUCAUUUGGUGUUUCUAGGAUAUGAUUAUUCUUUUCUGAAUGUCGAUAGUUGCUGGAAGAUAAGCUUCAUCCUUUUGCUGCUUUGUACAUAUAUUUUGCCAGAGAAGGUGCUCAUGGACUAUAUUCUUCUUAGUGUUUAGUGUCCAGAAUUCUUAACUAGUAUGGAUGAACGAUAGAAUAUUCUAUUUGAAUCUAGAAUUCAGCAGUGUUGCAUUUUCUGUGUGACAAGACAAUGUAUAAUAAUGGGGCUGUCUUGCACUUUAGUAUUGGACUUUAGCUAAUAGUGCUGCUGGUAUACUCCCAUAAAUGGGCCAUCAAUAUAAUCAUCCUAAAGAAGAAAAAACAAGCACUCCCCAAAUAUACAAACUCUAUCUAUCUCUCAACUUAUAUGAAGGGGCCAGGAACUCACACCGACCACACAAUUGAAUGUAAGAUGGAAUACUGAGGUUAAUCUGAACAUGAAUCAAGACCAGAUUGAGUCCUACUUUUUGAUGGCUUUCCUAUUUGUAAGCAGUCAACUGGCGGAACUGUAGGAGUGCUCAACAACCCAAAAGUCUGCCAGCAGAAGGGAUUAUAGAGGUGGUACUGUUCUUGCACUGGUUUCAAUUGUAUAGCUGUGAGAGUCACAUCAACGCAUGGUAGGCUAUCGCUGCAGGCAAAGUGCACUGGUCUCACUGUGCCUACAUAUCAUGUCUGCUAGCAUGUCGGUGUUUUGUCAUGAGUUUUUUCCAGCUUAAGGAAUAUUCAGGCCUUGGUACAACGUGGUGCUCCGUGGAUCUUCCAUUCAACAGAAGCAGAUAAUGUGAAAGUGGCUGGAAGCAGUUGCGCUAGUUGCUAAUAAAGACAAAAGAGAGCAUUGAGAAAUUGGUGGCCGCCAUGUGUCGGCCGACUGGUGGCUUGAUUUUGUCGAUUCCACCAGCAGCUAUAUAAGGUUUUGGAGGAGGAUAAGCUUGUGCUCUCUUACCAAGUAAGUUCUCUGCUAGCGUAUGCGGUGACAAGCUGUGGCUUCAAUUUUUUAAACUGCAUGUUUUUUUGUUUUUGUCUGUCAUGUCUGGGCUGAGCUGGAGCCCACAUCUAGGUUCAUAAGAUUUCUAGGAAACACCUAAUUCUACGAUACUAACUAUUUUCUGAUAGUAGGAAUAGGAAGAGUUUAGCUAAUGGAGAGCCUUAAUGGCUUUGCUCUUGGAUGUCAUGGUUUUGGACUGUGAUUUGAUAAUUCCCUUCGUUUUGAAGUGUUAUAAAAGAUGUUCCGCUAUCAUAGUUGAAAGGGGAAGAAAAUGGAAAGGGAGAAGAAGUGUAACGUACCACAAGCAAGAUCGGUGCUAUGAAUGAGCACAUCUUUGGAGUUUUGGAGGUGAAUGCCGUCUGUGUUGGGGCUGUUGCCUGGAGAUGAGACGCUCAUGUCAUGAACCAGAACUCCCAUGCAAUUGUCAAAUUUGAGGUGGAACUGGGGGCUGUUUCGAAUUGUAAUGCCCGUGACCGUCACAUUGAAACUCCCAUAAAACCUCAGAGCCUGUGCAAAAAACAUAAUUAACGAUUGUAAUGAAAAGGAGUGCUGGGACUUGGGAAGUUAAGCAGUUGUGAACUGGGCCUUACAGUGGGCUUGAUGCUUGGCAUUUUUGCACCGAGCUCAUUUCUCACCUGUCACAAUAUAUAUCAGAAGCCUAGUCAGUUUUGGCAACUGAUUACUGGAACAGUGAACACAAAUUCUUAGGAUGAAAUCACGCCUACUACUUGAAUGAUGGUAAACUCCUCUCAUACAUAAAGUGAAGUAUAAGAAAGUUACCGGCAUCGGUGGACUUCUUUCCACGGUGCUGUUUAACGGAAUCAGGAGUUGUGUUUCAUCGUCAAUGGGUUCAUCAAAUGGGUAGUCCUCCCACCAAACCGAGCCUCGACCAUCAAUGGUCCCUUGCCCUUGGAUUGUGAUCCCUCUUAGCUUAGUGAACUCGAGCCAUUGUAGCAGACCUUUUCCCCAUGCUUUGUUCUCUGUCGGAGCAACUAGGGUUCCAUCCAGCUGAAAAUUAAUUCAAACUCAUUUAGCCUCCCAGAAACGGUGUUUUCUCGAGCACACUCUGUCUUGUAGAAAUUUUCUUUUUACCUGGACUAAGAUGUUUGCCUGGCAAUAUGGACCCGAAAACGAGAUGGGUCCCACGAAGAAUACGUAUUUAGCCGGGAUGAUCAUCAUCGACGCCUCCACUUUGCAUGCGGCGGCCCAUGCAUCUUCAAAUGCCUGCGGUUCAUUUUAGCAGAAAUAGCAGAAACACUUUUCUUAGGAUUCAGCCAAAACGAAAAGGAAAAUAGAGACUCGCUUCCUUUCUAAUUGUGAAAUAAAACACUUUUCUUAGGACCAAACGCUAUAACUCCGGUCGUCGUUGUACAGUUGGUGUUAGUUUGUAGGGACGAUAAUUGUUGGGAUCAUGUGGUCCCAGCAAUCACACAAAGAAUCCUUUUAGGGUGGGCCCCAUAGCCCACCCCACCCCACCCCGGUAGUUCAGUUGUCCUUUCUCAGUGCACUUUAUUGUUUGUUACAUGGUAGGUAAUCUUUUUAUAUUCUCGAAAUUAAGUUGCAAAAUUCGAUGUGUCUGUAGGACAAGAGGGUCACCUGCUUCUAGUUUUAGAAUCUUUUUGCCAAUUCCUUCCUAAUGAUUUUGAACAUGUUAGUAAUAGAGAAAAUUAAGGUGACCAAGAACUUAAGCUUCAACCCAUUUACUGUGCGACUAGUGUUAGAUGUACUAAAAAAACUUGACGUAGUAAUCCAGAGUCAUGGAAAUGUGUGAUUCAAAUUGAAAGUUGGGACACGAGAAGGAUUGAUUGGCACUUUCUGUGAAAUCUUUAAUUGGUUCUUUGUAUGUAGCAUUUCACUUUAUGCUCUCAACCUGGUGCGAGUGACUGGCUGAGCUCCUACAAUGCUUUUCCAGCAUGUGACGUUGUUCAUGGCCCAAUUCUAGACUACAGCGAUUCCAUUGUUGUGCAUGUUCGAUAAUGCAUUUAAUCUUAAAACGAUGCCUUGACUCUAACUAGCCUAAACUAAAAAAGCAGAAGAAAAUAGUGAGCUACUGAAUUUUGCUCUUGUGCCUUUGAAAAUGCUAGUUAUAUCGAAUCACCAGUGAAAGUUUUUUCUUUUUUCUAUUUUUGCUGGUCGAAGCACUCUGUUAAAAGACUACUUUCUUGGGGUAAAAGUUGUAUACGACUCAAUAUAGCAUUCCACAUUUUAAAUAUGAAAUUACCCCUAGAAAGAAAGGAUGAUUGUCGAUGCCACAUUGCAUAUGUGAAAAGUUUCUUCUUUAAUCUUCCGAGAAGUGAAAAUGCAAUGUUUGCUUGUUAAACUACAUUGACUGGUUUAAUUGGCAUCAACAUGCAUUAAAAGACUUUCAUGGUAUUUACUCUGCGUACUAUACCAACAAAAAGUAAUGCGAGAGCGAAGAGUUGGGCUUCUGGUUUGACCUUUGUGUCAUCAGUACUUCCAUCACCCUUGGCCCCGAAGUCAAGCACAUUAAAGGUGGCAGAGCGGCCACCACUGGAACCUUUCUGCGGCGGCGAAGGUGGCGUUUCUUCUACUGGUUUGGGACUUGGAGGCAACGAUGGGCUUUUGUGAGAGGGUGCUGUUGGAGAUUUUGAUCCUCCAUGGUGGUUGUGAUGGCUACUUCCAUGGCUUUUCGUCUUCUUCUUUAGCAGAGAUGCCGAGGCUGCUCUGCUGUGCCUCCAAUGCUUCCCUCUUCUAGCAUUGCACAUUUCAAGACUUGAAGACCAAGCAAGAAGUGCUAUGAAAAGCAUAAAUGUGAUGCUUCUGAACCUCAAUCCCUCCAUGUUUUAGUGUUGUGGAGGGAUGGGAAAAAGGGAGGGGGAGGGAGAGGGAGAAAAGAGAGAGAGGGAUUAGAUAUCCGAUAUAAGUGGUGGAGGGUGUGUGUGUGUGUAUAUAUAUAGAUAUUGAAGUGAAGAGUUGAUGAGACUACGCGGAUAAAAGCAAAGAAUUCUUCCAAUAAUUUUAGAUCUUCUGGUGGGGAUCUAUCUACUACUAGCAAACCAGACUGUAAUUGAUCAUGGGAUGCAUUGACGGCUAGCCAAUAAUAACUUCUGUGAGUACCUUAUUCCUUUUCUUUCUCAUGUGAGUCAUUCAAUAUGUGAUUGUGCAUGCAUACAUUACCAGUGAAUUCAUUGAUGAUGCCUGCUGAUUCAGCAGAUAGAAUAUUUCGUUCUCUAAGGACCGAGGCAUAUUUAUUGGAAUUCUGCCUGUACCAUAUGAAGAGAUGCAUCAUCACGCAUAUCAUCUACAGAGCUUUCAUUCCAUAAUAGCUUUGUUUAAUACGUCGUUCGAGUUAUGUUGGGUCUUCAAUUUCCCAAUCAAUUUGGGGAGGAGCAGAACAGAGAAGACUCUGGGAUCUGCUCGCCUCCUUUCCCAUUCGCAUGGCCUCAAAAUUUUCCAGGAAUUAAAUAAUGGGGGAUAGAUUUCCAUGUAAAAAGGAGCCAAAAGAGGGACACGUGAGUGGGUCUAUGAGUUGGGAAGGAGGGGAGGAGGUGGCACUGAUUAUAACAGCUCUUUUAUGGUCACAUGCAUCGCUCACGGGCAAGAGUGUUCCCGCACCUUGUCUUAACCCUACAAUCAUGGCUGAAAACAGGUAACUGUUUUUAUUUCCUCCCUCCAUAUCCUCCUUUCAAGCACACACUUUCGAAACCCCCGCAUUGACCACGAAUCAUGGGUAGCCACGUAUUCAGAGAGAGAGAGAGGGAGAGUAUUUGACUGACCUGAGCUAUGUCUCAGGCCUCUCUCUCUCAGCUGAGCCAGAGCCUACUUUUUCGUGACCUUGGAAUUUCCGAGGAUGGACCAAAGAGACAGAGAGGCGCAGACGCUGGAUUUCGAGCAGAAAUGGUCAAGAGACAUUGCAAAUGCAUGCAUGCCCAUGGUUUUGCCAUACCGGUUAGAAAUUGUACGAACCCAAAAACGCGAAAAUGAAAAAGAAAAGAAAAAGGGUAGGAAAAUGCGAGAGUCCUGGGGUCCAACUAACAGUAACAAAGACAGGAAAUGACAGGGAAUUGCAUUUCUCAAGGUCAUGUUAAAUCCCAGUUCAGAGCCAUUUGUAUCAGAACCAAACAAAUUUAGUGUUCAGAGAGAAAACGAUGAAAGAACAAUCGAGGCCUGCGUAAUAUUAAAAGGGGGCGAAUACGAGUACGGAAAUAGCAUCUAGGAAGAUGCAACAGCCGAUAAAUCGCUGUAUGAUUCGUCCAUUGCCGCUUUGUGCUUUCCCGUUCAUUGGAGUGCAGAUAUUAGGACUUAAAAGCUUCUUCUUCUUCUUCUUCUUCUUCUUCUUCUUUAGGGGGGCGGAAUACCUGUCUGGAGCGUAUGUCGUUAUCAGCACCGAGUGAUACCAAACUGACUUAUCGUUGUGAACGUGAAUUGGUAGUAGAAUUUGUGGUCUAUGAUUUGCAUACUUUUUUUCCAUUAUCACCCAUCUGGUUUUGUUGUCUUGUGGUCCUAGGACUCCUUUUUCUGGAUCAUGGCAUCCGAAUGAUUUACUGAAUUCCUUUAUUGUUCUUCAAUUUUAAGAGGGAAGGAAUAUAACUCGUCACGUAUGUCUGACUUCUAUUGUGAAUUAAAUCAUUUGAUGAAUAUGGCCGAAAGAAAUUACACACAACGGCGGUAAAACUUUGUAGAAGGAUUAUAUGUCGUCCGAGUUUCUACAUCUUUCUCUCUUUUUCUUUGGUAAAUAGUGCUAGAAAAUACAUGGAAGAGCGUACUAUGAGUCAACUGACUUGCAUUGCUGUUGCUGCACGCCCUCUUCAGAGUCCAAGAAGGUGACAAAAACGUCUGAGAAUUUAUGUAGUUUCUGUUAGUUUC